RNAcentral lists this long non-coding RNA (1452 nucleotides) under Camelus dromedarius (Arabian camel). RNAcentral's name for it is "lncRNA (ENSCDRG00005018411.1)". Lineage: Eukaryota; Metazoa; Chordata; Mammalia; Artiodactyla; Camelidae. The record is from RNAcentral.
CCUGGAUUCCUCAUAUAAGUUUUCACUUCAUAAUAUAUAUGUGUUAACUCAGACAAGUUUGAGACAAAGUUCUCUGAUCUGUAUCGCUGAAAGUCUAACUUAUCCACACAUACCCUCCCCAAUGGUUAAGAAAUGAGACACUCUUUCUACCUGGAUCAUCUCUUUUCUUACAAAGACAUGCCUGUAUAAGACAUCCACAUGGAGUUUGUCUCUCUCCAAUCCCUCCAACACCUGCCUGUUCCACCCACCGUGCUCACCGUCACCUCCUGAAGAUCAGUGUCAGAUGUCUUGAGAGCUCAAAACAGCAGCUGGAUUUUCUGGGAUGCCAUUGUUUGCGGGGGUAAAGGUCAGGGGCAAAUCCAAGGCAGGCAGUGAGCCCAAAGCUACAUGAUACACGGCAAUGAACUUGGUCCCUGGGGUAAAAUCAGCUGGUGGAAGGACCUAGCCCACAGGACAGCACCACAGCUGUAACUUGGGGAGAACAGGGGUCUCUGGCCACACUGGCUUCACUACUCAAGAGUCUGUGGGACUAGGCGCUUCAGUGGUUCCAGCCAGCAACACCAGUCCAGACUCUACGACCCAGCAAACCUGUGAUCUGAUGAUAGAAAACAGAAGAAAAUACAAGGGGACGUAAAAAGCCAGAAGCGCUUAGGAAAAAUUCCCUCAUUGAAGAACCCAGAGGAGCGAAGAAGUGACCCCUUCCCAGCCCUCAGAAAAGUCCACUUGAAAUAUGGAUUUUCAAGUCAAAUCUUGUCAGUCAGCUCCUCUCCAGCUCGAACCCAGAAGGAACUGGCCAACUGUUGCCCUGGUCUGGCCACCCUAACAGUACCUGAUGUGUGUUCAGAUGCACCUGGAAAGAAAGGAAAGGGAAUGACUAGCUGUGAGAGAGAUGGAUGCAGUAGACUGGAAAGACCUCAUAAGGUAGGUGAUGCUUUACCUGAACAUCGAAGGAUGUGUCAAAAUGUUCCAGAGGUGAACAAUGCUAAGAGCUUUCCAAGCACCAGGAAAGGCAAGGAGGGAUGAACAAUCAUUUGGGGUACAGGAAUUGCUCCCACACCUCUGUGAUCCAACAGGGUCAAAGAUGUGCAGAGGAAAGGGGUGGAGCAGAGGACAGGAAAAGGUGGGCCAGGUAGCCAGCCUCUGAUCAAAAGGACAAAUACCACAUUAAAAUGAAAUGAGUUAUUGAAGCUUGUAGAGUCUGGAGGUAAGCUAGACUUCCAUGGCUUAGAAUAGAAAGAUAGAACUGUUCCUUUUAUUUCUGGUCCCAUGUAGCACUCUGAAGUAUUCAGAAGUGAAUUUAGAAGCCUGUUUCACUUCACUUAGAUUCACAACACCUGCUGCUGAAGAUGUAACCCAGACUCGAAGGAUGAAAAAUGUCCUCUGUCAGACACAGACAUAUGUUACCAGUUUCGAUCAUAUGUCAUCUGUGACUCAAGUAAUCAUGAACGCGAA